Molecule: long non-coding RNA, 2293 nt
Organism: Piliocolobus tephrosceles (Ugandan red Colobus)
Lineage: Eukaryota; Metazoa; Chordata; Mammalia; Primates; Cercopithecidae
Source: Ensembl
UUUUCGUUUUUAUGGAUGAAAAAAAACUCCGCCAAUUUAGUUUGCCAAUUCCACAUUUUUCAAUCAAUGAACUGUUUGAAGUAAGUGAAUAUGAUUUUUACAAAUUAGCACAAACAGAAGAUAUUACAAUUGUAUCAAAAUAUGAGGAAGUGCUACAGAAAGAAGAAAAAAUAAACACAGAACAAAAUUUUAAAAACGGAAAUGAAAAGGAAAAUGAAAGUGGAAGCGAGAGUGAAAAUGAAAGGCUUUUUAUGAAUUAUCUUAAAAAUAUAGUGAAAAUAGAUGAUAAUAGUAAUAACAAUAUAAAUAAUAAAAAUGAUUAUAAUUACUUUAAGAAUUUAACGCAGGAUUCCUACAAUGAUUUAUCAGGUAAAGUAAACUCAUCCAACUCAAAGGUAACUAAUACUACUACUGUACGUGCCGAUACAUCAGUAGGUGCUACUGCUACUACACAUGAUGCUACCCAAAACAAUUUAAAAAAAAAAAAAAAAGCCUUAAAAAAAAACGUUCACAUUUUUGAAAAAUUCCCAAAUAUUUCCAUAAGAACAGAUUUGAAAAAAAAAUGGAUUUACCACACACCACCAAAAAAAUUUACAAUAUGUAAAAUUGAUUUACAAGAAUUUGAAAAGGAAUGUAAUUUGAUAUAUAAACGUUUAGAAAUAAAACCCAGUUAUUAUAGUGAAAAUGCAGAGAGUGUAGUGAAUUCAUUUGAGGUACAUACAUGUGAUGAACAACAUCCCAUCGCACAAAAAAAAGGAAUAUAUACCAGAAAAGAAAAUAUAAUAAGAAAUAUAAAUGAGAUAUCAAAUGGGAAAGCAUCCAGUAUUGAACAAUUGGAUGAGGAAGCAUCAUGUUAUAAAGUAAAUAUUCACCCAUGUGCUACGAGAGAGAAAAAUAAAGAAGAUGAAAUUCGAAAUUUAAAAAAAAAAAAUUACAACGACUUAAUAGAAAUAUUACAAUCAGGUAUUCGCAACCCUACACUUAAUGAAAUUAUUAAUGACGUAGUUUAUUAUAAUUGUAAGAAUUGGCAAGAUAAAAUUGAUUUACCUACAUUAAAAACAGUAACGGAUUUAUCUAAAAAAAGAAAAGUAUUAAACAGAACUAAAUGCUAUUUAAGUUGGAUUCCCAAAACUGAAAAUAAUACUUUUAAUAAAUAUCAAAUUAUAUCUAAAUUAAAGAAAAAAACGAUAUCCAAAACAUUUAAAUUAGUAUGUGAUUUUAAUAAUUCUAUUUUAAAAACUGUAUAUAUUAAUCAAAAUGCUAUUAAUAGGUUAGAUAUAGAAGAGAAUGAGGAAGCUGAAAAUGAAAAAGAAAAAAAAAAAAAAGAAUUUUUUACAUAUGAAAAUAUAUUAAAUAAUAAUAUAUAUUUUAAUGAUAUUUUUAUAGUAAUUGUUUCUUUUUAUCAUCCUAUUCGAGGUAUUAAAUUAGCUGAAUUUGAAAUUUUAUCUAAUCAAACAUUAGCAGAUUUGACAGAUGUUUUUUUUUGUUAUGAUUCAUCUAAUUAUGGGUUACCAAAAUGUUCAGGAUCAGUUUAUUAUAUUGAUGGGAUUUUAUACCCCGAUUUACGAAAUAAAGAUGCAUUAGAUUAUUCUUUAUGUAUUUUAAAUUUUUAUAAAAAAAUCGCAAAUAAUAAUUUUAUUAAACCACCAUAUAAAAUAAACCAAGAUAAAGCUAUUCUUAAAAAUAUAAAAAUACCAUUAUAUGAAAAGUGUUGUUUUUUGCAUCAAGGAAAUUGUGAACAUCGUAUUAUUUUUCAAAACAUACGAACAUAUGACUAUUUUAGAGAUAAACAUUUUUCGAAAUACCCUCUUCGAACUUUCAAACCUAAGAUAACUAAAAAGUAUUGUAUGUGUUGUCAUAAAACGGUUGCUCAAAAAAUUAUAUUAGAUUGUUAUUUAUUUAAAGAAAACCCAUCAUACAUUUGUAACAGCUGUUUUGAUAUGUUUUUGUUUGACAAGGAUGGUAAACCCGUUGAUCAUAUGAUGCAGUACUUUGAUUACAUAGACGACAUUUAAUUUGGGCUCAUGUGUGUAUGAGUGAGUAUGUUUUGUGAUAAGUGCUCAUAACUAUUGACAACAUACAGAUGCAUGUAUACAUAUAUAUUUCCCUAUCCUGCAUGUAUAUCUUUGCAGAUAUUCAUAUGUACCUUCUUUUUAAAAGACCCUUAUUUCAAUAUGUGUUAAAUGCAUAUAUAUACAUAGUUGCAUACAUAUAUGUAUACCUUUUUUUUUUUCUUUUUUUUUCUUUUUUAAAAAAGAAUAAAUUUUGAUUUAAAAUAAGAGAAAUUAAACCU